This 146-nucleotide ribosomal RNA is filed under the name uncultured bacterium. RNAcentral describes it as "partial 16S rRNA". It matches the Rfam family "Bacterial small subunit ribosomal RNA", at positions 350 to 511 of the family's 1533-position model. The record is from RNAcentral.
CAAGGUGGGGAAUUUUCCGCAAUGGGCGAAAGCCUGACGGAGCAAUGCCGCGUGGAGGUGGAAGGCCUACGGGUCGUCAACUUCUUUUCUCGGAGAAGAAACAAUGACGGUAUCUGAGGAAUAAGCAUCGGCUAACUCUGUGCCAA